Molecule: ribosomal RNA, 163 nt
Filed under: Poikilospermum suaveolens
Lineage: Eukaryota; Viridiplantae; Streptophyta; Magnoliopsida; Rosales; Urticaceae
Also listed under: 1 other name
Description: 5.8S ribosomal RNA
Rfam family: 5.8S ribosomal RNA
About the family: 5.8S ribosomal RNA (5.8S rRNA) is a component of the large subunit of the eukaryotic ribosome. It is transcribed by RNA polymerase I as part of the 45S precursor that also contains 18S and 28S rRNA.
Source: RNAcentral
UAACGACUCUCGGCAACGGAUAUCUCGGCUCUCGGAUCGAUGAAGAACGUAGCGAAAUGCGAUACAUGGUGUGAAUUGCAGGAUCCCGUGAACCAUCGAGUUUUUGAACGCAAGUUGCGCCCGAAGCCAUCAGGCCGAGGGCACGUCUGCCUGGGCGUCACGC